GUGAGAGUAGCUCAGCUGGUCAGAGCACUGGAUUGUGGAUCCAGGGGUCGCGGGUUCAAAUCCCGUCUCUCACC
RNAcentral lists this transfer RNA (74 nucleotides) under Planctomycetota bacterium. Its description in RNAcentral is "Planctomycetes bacterium tRNA-His". It matches the Rfam family "tRNA". From Rfam's summary of the family: Transfer RNA (tRNA) molecules are approximately 80 nucleotides in length. Their secondary structure includes four short double-helical elements and three loops (D, anti-codon, and T loops). Further hydrogen bonds mediate the characteristic L-shaped molecular structure. tRNAs have two regions of fundamental functional importance: the anti-codon, which is responsible for specific mRNA codon recognition, and the 3' end, to which the tRNAs corresponding amino acid is attached (by aminoacyl-tRNA synthetases). tRNAs cope with the degeneracy of the genetic code in two manners: having more than one tRNA (with a specific anti-codon) for a particular amino acid; and 'wobble' base-pairing, i.e. permitting non-standard base-pairing at the 3rd anti-codon position. Lineage: Bacteria; Pseudomonadati; Planctomycetota. The record is from RNAcentral.